AUUGGUAGCUCAGUUGGUAGAGCAACUGACUCUUAAUCAGUGGGUCCAGGGUUCGAGCCCCUGCCAG
RNAcentral lists this transfer RNA (67 nucleotides) under Aerococcus urinaeequi. It matches the Rfam family "tRNA", at positions 5 to 66 of the family's 71-position model. From Rfam's summary of the family: Transfer RNA (tRNA) molecules are approximately 80 nucleotides in length. The record is from RNAcentral. Lineage: Bacteria; Bacillati; Bacillota; Bacilli; Lactobacillales; Aerococcaceae.